UGCAAGUCGAGCGGAGUUAUUCCUUCGGGGAUAACUUAGCGGCGGACGGGUGAGUAACACGUAGGCAACCUGCCUGUAAGACUGGGAUAACUACCGGAAACGGUAGCUAAGACCGGAUACACGAUUUGAUCGCAUGAUCGAAUUGGGAAAAGCGGAGCAAUCUGCUACUUACAGAUGGGCCUGCGGCGCAUUAGCUAGUUGGUGGGGUAACGGCUCACCAAGGCGACGAUGCGUAGCCGACCUGAGAGGGUGAACGGCCACACUGGGACUGAGACACGGCCCAGACUCCUACGGGAGGCAGCAGUAGGGAAUCUUCCGCAAUGGACGCAAGUCUGACGGAGCAACGCCGCGUGAGUGAUGAAGGUUUUCGGAUCGUAAAGCUCUGUUGCCAGGGAAGAACGCUAUGGAGAGUAACUGCUCUGUAGGUGACGGUACCUGAGAAGAAAGCCCCGGCUAACUACGUGCCAGCAGCCGCGGUAAUACGUAGGGGGCAAGCGUUGUCCGGAAUUAUUGGGCGUAAAGCGCGCGCAGGCGGCUUUGUAAGUCUGGUGUUUAAACCUAGGGCUCAACCCUGGGUCGCAUUGGAAACUGCAAGGCUUGAGUGCAGAAGAGGAGAGUGGAAUUCCACGUGUAGCGGUGAAAUGCGUAGAGAUGUGGAGGAACACCAGUGGCGAAGGCGACUCUCUGGGCUGUAACUGACGCUGAGGCGCGAAAGCGUGGGG
RNAcentral lists this ribosomal RNA (722 nucleotides) under Paenibacillus susongensis. RNAcentral's name for it is "bacterial SSU rRNA". It matches the Rfam family "Bacterial small subunit ribosomal RNA", at positions 56 to 766 of the family's 1533-position model. Lineage: Bacteria; Bacillati; Bacillota; Bacilli; Caryophanales; Paenibacillaceae. The record is from RNAcentral.